GCAUGCCUAACACAUGCAAGUCGAACGGGAUCCAAGCUUCGGUUUGGUGAGAGUGGCGAACGGGUGAGUAACGCGUGGGAACCUGCCCAGAGGUACGGAAUAACAGUUGGAAACGACUGCUAAUACCGUAUGAGCCCGAGAGGGGAAAGAUUUAUCGCCUUUGGAGGGGCCCGCGUCAGAUUAGGUAGUUGGUGGGGUAAAGGCCUACCAAGCCUACGAUCUGUAGCUGGUCUUAGAGGAUGAUCAGCCACACUGGGACUGAGAUACGGCCCAGACUCCUACGGGAGGCAGCAGUGGGGAAUAUUGGACAAUGGGGGCAACCCUGAUCCAGCAAUGCCGCGUGAGUGAUGAAGGCCUUCGGGUUGUAAAGCUCUUUUGCCAGGGACGAUAAUGACGGUACCUGGAGAAUAAGCCCCGGCUAACUUCGUGCCAGCAGCCGCGGUAAUACGAAGGGGGCUAGCGUUGUUCGGAAUUACUGGGCGUAAAGGGCGCGUAGGCGGUCUGAUAAGUUAGGUGUGAAAUUCCCGGGCUUAACCUGGGCGCUGCACUUAAUACUGUUGGGCUUGAAUUCGGGAGAGGAUAGUGGAAUUCCCAGUGUAGUGGUGAAAUUCGUAGAUAUUGGGAAGAACACCAGUGGCGAAGGCGACUAUCUGGACCGACAUUGACGCUGAGGCGCGAAAGCGUGGGGAGCAAACAGGAUUAGAUACCCUGGUUAGUCCACGCCGUAAAACGAUGAGUGCUAGACCGCUGGUAGGUUUACCUAUCGGGUGUCGCAAGCUAACGCAUUAAGCAACUCCGCCCUGGGGAAGUACGGGUCGCCAAGAUU
This 826-nucleotide ribosomal RNA is filed under the name uncultured bacterium. RNAcentral's name for it is "bacterial SSU rRNA". It matches the Rfam family "Bacterial small subunit ribosomal RNA", at positions 42 to 873 of the family's 1533-position model. The record is from RNAcentral.